AUUAAUUUCAAUCAACAAGGAAUCCCACUACUCUCUCUUCAAUCAAUGUAUCUUAAAUACUGCUUUUGCAAUCUCAUUCGUCCGUGUAUAUAUAGACCCUCUGAAAGAUUGAUUCAAAUCCCUAAUUUCUUACCAACUAAUAACUUACGUUAUUUCUCUAACAACCUGUCAGAUCAUGGCUUCUUCCAAACUUUAUUUUACAGAGUCUAGGCCGUUUGAAAACAAUGCUUCGUCUCUGGGAGGCCAAUAAUGUAAAGAAAGCUGUUGAGCUGAUAGGCAUUGAUAUGGUGCUCAUCGAUUGGAAGGUUCACAGAUCAAACAAUGUUCGUUGACUUAGCAGAAUCUAUCCCCCCCCAUCCCAAUGGAGAGCUUUUGGUUUUGCAAUUAUGACCAACUCAUGCUCUUGGCCACCACGAUCACAUUUUUGCAAGGGUACUAAAGUUUUCAUGGACAGAGAUCAAGUAUGUAUAUCUCUUGGAAAGAAUGUAUUAAUCUGAGUGAAGUGAUACGUUUCGUAUCUUAUUAAUCUUCUUGCGGAAUAUGAUGUCCGAAAUUGGUGCUUUCAAGUCUUUCAAGGCUCUCUUGCAUGAAUCAGCGUGGAUGCUUCCACAGUGAUCUAAGGCCAGAUUUUUUGUCCGCUACAGAAAAUCGGUUAGUCUCUAAAGAUGUCAUUAGUAUCACUGAUCUUGGCCUGGCCCGAGAGGUAAACUCGAGUCCAUCGUAUAAAGCGUAUGUCUCGACAUGCUGAUAUGUGGGCUACAGGCGCUAUUCUGACUAAGAUUACGCCCUCGCUUUCCUAGAACUAGGGUUUUGUCAAAUAUUGUUAUGUGCAAUUUUCCUGAUGUAAUAUUGUUUCAGAUGUAAAGAUAAGCCAGCAAUAUGUCUCUUUAAUAUGUGCAGUGUUAUAUGUAUCGCAACUGAAGAGAAAUGAUUGGAGGGGCUUAAUCGCUUACC
This is a long non-coding RNA of Raphanus sativus (radish), 954 nucleotides long. RefSeq lists it as uncharacterized. Lineage: Eukaryota; Viridiplantae; Streptophyta; Magnoliopsida; Brassicales; Brassicaceae. The record is from RefSeq and is a predicted model, not a curated record. The transcript has 5 exons.